RNAcentral lists this ribosomal RNA (208 nucleotides) under uncultured bacterium. RNAcentral describes it as "partial 16S ribosomal RNA". It matches the Rfam family "Bacterial small subunit ribosomal RNA", at positions 568 to 775 of the family's 1533-position model. The record is from RNAcentral.
CACGUAGGCGGAUUGGUAAGUCAGAUGUGAAAUCCCGGAGCUCAACUCCGGAACUGCAUUUGAUACUGCCAGUCUUGAGUGAGGUAGAGGGGGGUGGAAUUCCCGGUGCAGAGGUGAAAUUCGUAGAUAUCGGGAGGAACACCAGAGGCGAAGGCGACCCCCUGGGCCUCUACUGACGCUGAGGUGCGAAAGCGUGGGGAGCAAACAG